RNAcentral lists this ribosomal RNA (329 nucleotides) under Echinosaura horrida (rough teiid). RNAcentral describes it as "partial 12S ribosomal RNA". It matches the Rfam family "Bacterial small subunit ribosomal RNA", at positions 867 to 1366 of the family's 1533-position model. The record is from RNAcentral. Lineage: Eukaryota; Metazoa; Chordata; Lepidosauria; Squamata; Gymnophthalmidae.
AUCCGCCAGAAAAUUACGGGCAAAAGCCUAAAACUCAAAAGACUUGACGGUGUCCCACUCUACCUAGAGGAGCCUGUUUCAUAAUCGAUAAUCCCCGAUAAACCAAACCACUUUUAGAACCUAUCAGCCUAUAUACCGCCGUCACCAGCCUACCUCUUAAAGAAUUAAAGUAAGCUAAAUAAUAAAAUAUAAAUAAGUCAGGUCAAGGUGUAGCAUAUAAACUGGAGAAAAUGGGCUACAUUAUUUAUACUAAAUAACACGAAACAUAACACUGAAAAAGUAUAAGAAGGCGGAUUUAGCAGUAAUUUAAACAAGAGUAUUUAAAUUAA